Molecule: ribosomal RNA, 407 nt
Filed under: uncultured bacterium
Lineage: Bacteria
Description: partial 16S ribosomal RNA
Rfam family: Bacterial small subunit ribosomal RNA
Source: RNAcentral
AUUGAACGCUGGCGGCAUGCCUAACACAUGCAAGUCGAGCGGUGCUACCGACGGGCGAGUGAUGCCUAGGAAUCUGCCUUGUAGAGGGGGAUAGCGUCCGUAAACGGGCGCUAAUACCGCAUACUAUCAGCUGAGCCUAGUUCGGAUUAGCUAGUUGGUUGGGUAAAGGCCUACCAAGGCGACGAUCCGUAGCUGGGCUGAGAGGAUGACCAGUCACACUGGAACUGAGACACGGUCCAGACUCCUACGGUAGGCAGCAGUGGGGAAUAUUGCACAAUGGGAGAAAGCCUGAUGCAGCCAUGCCGCGUGUGUGAAGAAGGUCUUCGGAUUGUAAAGCACUGUAAGUUGGGAGGCGGUACCAAAAGAAAAAGCACCGGCUAACUCCGUGCCAGCAGCCGCGGUAAUAC